RNAcentral lists this ribosomal RNA (253 nucleotides) under uncultured bacterium. Its description in RNAcentral is "partial 16S ribosomal RNA". It matches the Rfam family "Bacterial small subunit ribosomal RNA", at positions 524 to 776 of the family's 1533-position model. The record is from RNAcentral.
UACGUAGGGACCGAGCGUUGUCCGGAUUCAUUGGGCGUAAAGAGCUCGUAGGCGGCUGUUCAAGUCGAACGUGAAAACUCGGAGCUCAACUCCGAGCCUGCGUUCGAUACUGGACGGCUAGAGUCUGGUAGGGGGAUCUGGAAUUCCUGGUGUAGCGGUGGAAUGCGCAGAUAUCAGGAGGAACACCGGUGGCGAAGGCGGGAUCCUGGGCCAGUACUGACGCUGAGGAGCGAAGGCCAGGGGAGCAAACGGG